GACGAACGCUGGCGGCGUGCUUAACACAUGCAAGUCGAACGGAAAGGCCCUGCUUUUGUGGGGUGCUCGAGUGGCGAACGGGUGAGUAACACGUGAGUAACCUGCCCUUGACUUUGGGAUAACUUCAGGAAACUGGGGCUAAUACCGGAUAGGAGCUCCUGCUGCAUGGUGGGGGUUGGAAAGUUUCGGCGGUUGGGGAUGGACUCGCGGCUUAUCAGCUUGUUGGUGGGGUAGUGGCUUACCAAGGCUUUGACGGGUAGCCGGCCUGAGAGGGUGACCGGCCACAUUGGGACUGAGAUACGGCCCAGAAUCCUACGGGAGGCAGCAGUGGGGAAUAUUGCAGAAUGGGCGGAAGCCUGAUGCAGCAACGCCGCGUGCGGGAUGACGGCCUUCGGGUUGUAAACCGCUGUCGCCUGUGACGAAGCGUGAGUGACGGUAAUGGGUAAAGAAGCACCGGCUAACUACGUG
RNAcentral lists this ribosomal RNA (468 nucleotides) under uncultured bacterium. RNAcentral describes it as "partial 16S ribosomal RNA". It matches the Rfam family "Bacterial small subunit ribosomal RNA", at positions 28 to 507 of the family's 1533-position model. The record is from RNAcentral.